GACGAACGCUGGCGGCGUGCUUAACACAUGCAAGUCGAACGGAAAGGCCCUGCUUUUGUGGGGUGCUCGAGUGGCGAACGGGUGAGUAACACGUGAGUAACCUGCCCUUGACUUUGGGAUAACUUCAGGAAACUGGGGCUAAUACCGGAUAGGAGCUCCUGCUGCAUGGUGGGGGUUGGAAAGUUUCGGCGGUUGGGGAUGGACUCGCGGCUUAUCAGCUUGUUGGUGGGGUAGUGGCUUACCAAGGCUUUGACGGGUAGCCGGCCUGGGAGGGUGACCGGCCACAUUGGGACUGGGAUACGGCCCAGACUCAUACGGGGGGAAGCAGUGGGGAAUAUUGCACAAUGGGCGGAAGCCUGAUGCAGCAACGCCGCGUGCGGGAUGACGGCCUUCGGGUUGUAAACCGCUUUCGCCUGUGACGAAGCGUGAGGGACGGUAAUGGGUAAAGAAGCACCGGCUAACUACGU
This 467-nucleotide ribosomal RNA is filed under the name uncultured bacterium. RNAcentral's name for it is "partial 16S ribosomal RNA". It matches the Rfam family "Bacterial small subunit ribosomal RNA", at positions 28 to 506 of the family's 1533-position model. The record is from RNAcentral.